GAUGAAGAACGUAGCGAAAUGCGAUAAGUAAUGUGAAUUGCAGAAUUCAGUGAAUCAUCGAAUCUUUGAACGCACCUUGCGCCCUUUGGACAUUCCGAAGGGCAUGCCUGUUUGAGUAUCAUGAACACCUCAACUCUCACGGCUUGUCCGUGAUGAGCUUGGACUUUGGGGGUCUUGCCGGCCUGUGGUCGGCUCCUCUCAAAUGGAUCAGCUUGCCAGUGUUUGGUGGCAUCACAGGUGUGAUAACUGUCUGCGCUUGUGGUUUUCCAUCAGAUAACCUUCAGUGAUAUGGAGGUUCGCUGGAGCUCACAAAUGUCUCUCCUUAGUGAGGACAGCUCUUUGAACGUUUGAUCUCAAAUCAGGUAGGACUACCCGCUGAACUUAAGCAUAUCAAUAAGCGGAGGA
RNAcentral lists this unclassified non-coding RNA (405 nucleotides) under soil metagenome. Its description in RNAcentral is "partial contains 5.8S ribosomal RNA, internal transcribed spacer 2, and large subunit ribosomal RNA". The stretch from base 1 to 121 matches the Rfam family "5.8S ribosomal RNA", at positions 35 to 154 of the family's 154-position model. The record is from RNAcentral.